GAUGAACGCUAGCGGCAGGCUUAAUACAUGCAAGUCGAGGGGCAGCACGGUUAGCAAUAACUGGUGGCGACCGGCGCACGGGUGCGUAACACGUAUACAAUCUACCUUAAACAGGGGGAUAGCCUUUCGAAAGAGAGAUUAAUACCCCGUAAUAAAUUGAACGGCAUCGUUUGAUUUUGAAAGCUCUGGCGGUUUGAGAUGAGUAUGCGUCUGAUUAGCUAGUUGGUGAGGUAACGGCUCACCAAGGCGACGAUCAGUAGGGGAUCUGAGAGGACUAACCCCCCACACUGGUACUGAGACACGGACCAGACUCCUACGGGAGGCAGCAGUAAGGAAUAUUGGUCAAUGGAGGCAACUCUGAACCAGCCAUGCCGCGUGCAGGAUGACGGCCCUAUGGGUUGUAAACUGCUUUUAUACAAGAGAAAACCCUGGUACGUGUACCAGGUUGAUAGUAUUGUAAGAAUAAGCAUCGGCUAACUUCGUGCCAGCAGCCGCGGUAAU
This 501-nucleotide ribosomal RNA is filed under the name uncultured bacterium. Its description in RNAcentral is "bacterial SSU rRNA". It matches the Rfam family "Bacterial small subunit ribosomal RNA", at positions 28 to 524 of the family's 1533-position model. The record is from RNAcentral.